Molecule: transfer RNA, 85 nt
Filed under: Felis catus (domestic cat)
Lineage: Eukaryota; Metazoa; Chordata; Mammalia; Carnivora; Felidae
Rfam family: tRNA
About the family: Transfer RNA (tRNA) molecules are approximately 80 nucleotides in length.
Source: Rfam by way of RNAcentral
GCCCCGGUGGCUCAGUCAGUUAAGCAUCGGACUUCAGCUCAGGUCAUGUUCUCACUGUUCGUGGGUUCGAGCCCCGCCUUGGGCU